This 497-nucleotide ribosomal RNA is filed under the name uncultured bacterium. Its description in RNAcentral is "partial 16S ribosomal RNA". It matches the Rfam family "Bacterial small subunit ribosomal RNA", at positions 28 to 507 of the family's 1533-position model. The record is from RNAcentral.
GAUGAACGCUGGCGGCGUGCCUAAUACAUGCAAGUCGAGCGAACGGACGAGAAGCUUGCUUCUCUGAUGUUAGCGGCGGACGGGUGAGUAACACGUGGAUAACAUACCUAUAAGACUGGGAUAACUUCCGGAAACCGGAGCUAAUACCGGAUGAUAUUUUGAACCGCAUGGUUCAAAAGUGAAAGACGGUCUUGCUGUCACUUAUAGAUGGAUCCGCGCUGCAUUAGCUAGUUGGUAAGGUAACGGCUUACCAAGGCAACGAUGCAUAGCCGACCUGAGAGGGUGAUCGGCCACACUGGAACUGAGACACGGUCCAGACUCCUACGGGAGGCAGCAGUAGGGAAUCUUCCGCAAUGGGCGAAAGCCUGACGGAGCAACGCCGCGUGAGUGAUGAAGGUCUUCGGAUCGUAAAACUCUGUUAUUAGGGAAGAACAUAUGUGUAAGUAACUGUGCACAUCUUGACGGUACCUAAUCAGAAAGCCACGGCUAACUACGUG